AUCUCAUCCGUUAGCCAUCAACAGUGCUGUUUAGAUCAGCUUUGUGUCCUCCAGUCCCAAGACUAAUGGCUCAGUAGGAAAGUCGGAGGGGUUCUGGAUUUUCUGGUAGGCCAGCAGUGACAGCCCCUAGGAUGAAGUUUCCUCGUGUGGUUCUCAGCGCGCCCAGAAAACCUUCAACAUAUACAGAACGCAUAUCUGAGGAGCUGCAGAUCCUGUUAGGUCCCGGAAGACGGGGAGGAAAGGAGGAGACGAGGGGGCCCGCGCUGCAACACCAGACAUUCCCUGUCACACCAGCGCUUUGAGUUAGGGAGGUCUGGUCUGGAAGCCCGAUGACGGAAGUCAGGCCAGAAGAAAUCCACAGUGCUUGCUCGCCCCUCCAGGGACUAAUAAAUUAGACAGCUGCAUUUUCCUCUGUGGCC
Long non-coding RNA from Triplophysa dalaica, 419 nucleotides. RefSeq lists it as uncharacterized. The record is from RefSeq and is a predicted model, not a curated record. The transcript is spliced from 3 exons. NCBI's taxonomy places the organism in Eukaryota, Metazoa, Chordata, Actinopteri, Cypriniformes, Nemacheilidae.